UGGCUCAGUUGCUAGAGCAUGGUGUUUGCAACGCCAGGGUUGUGGGUUCGAUUCCCAC
Salmo salar (Atlantic salmon) is the source of this 58-nucleotide non-coding RNA. The record is from Rfam. NCBI's taxonomy places the organism in Eukaryota, Metazoa, Chordata, Actinopteri, Salmoniformes, Salmonidae.